CCAAAAUUCUUGAAGAACUGUCCAGGACGUAACAUUUGUUGUGUCCUAUUUGUAUGUUGUAUGUAGAUGGCAAACUCCAUUUGAGGUGUUGGUACAGACUAUGGAGUUGAUUUCCGCUUUAUUGUCCUAAAUGCUUUACGAAAUCAUAGGAUUACAGCUGUUCAGAAUCAACAUCCGCUGGAAAACGAAGCCUGCUACAAGAGCUCAGAUGCUUCCAAGACAUCGCCAAUUUGUGUCUACUUGCUUAUUGGAUUAUUGAGCACUGUACAAUUUCAGAACGCGCUUCGUGAGGGGUUGGUUCUGGUAUGGUGCAGAUUUAAUAUUUUUAUUUAAUAUUUUAUCGGAGACAGCUUUACAUUUAAUGCAAGAUGAUGUGGGGUAUUGAAUGAAUGGUUAGGUCAGUUGGCAGUCCCGAUCUUAAUGUACUUGAGCACCUCUCGGACCAAGAUCAGAAACGCAUUUAUCGCUCAUUCAUUCCCAAUCUGCGUAUCACACUUCGGGAAAAAUUUGAUCCCAUUCUACAACAAUUUCCUACAAACUUAACACUUGUUGCUAAUUUGUAAAUAUAUUUUUUUAUAAAUUGAA
Cylas formicarius (sweet potato weevil) is the source of this 585-nucleotide long non-coding RNA. RefSeq lists it as uncharacterized. NCBI's taxonomy places the organism in Eukaryota, Metazoa, Arthropoda, Insecta, Coleoptera, Brentidae. The record is from RefSeq and is a predicted model, not a curated record. The transcript is spliced from 2 exons.